RNAcentral lists this ribosomal RNA (253 nucleotides) under uncultured prokaryote. RNAcentral's name for it is "partial 16S ribosomal RNA". It matches the Rfam family "Bacterial small subunit ribosomal RNA", at positions 525 to 777 of the family's 1533-position model. The record is from RNAcentral.
ACGGAGGGUGCGAGCGUUGUCCGGAUUUAUUGGGUUUAAAGGGUGCGUAGGCGGCCAUUUAAGUCAGCGGUGAAAGACCCCGGCUCAACCGUGGAGGGUCAUUGGAAACUGGGGGACUUGAGUGCAGAAGAGGAAAGUGGAAUUCCACGUGUAGCGGUGAAAUGCGUAGAGAUGUGGAGGAACACCAGUGGCGAAGGCGACUUUCUGGUCUGUAACUGACGCUGAGGCGCGAAAGCGUGGGGAGCAAACAGGA